RNAcentral lists this ribosomal RNA (433 nucleotides) under uncultured bacterium. Its description in RNAcentral is "partial 16S ribosomal RNA". It matches the Rfam family "Bacterial small subunit ribosomal RNA", at positions 29 to 507 of the family's 1533-position model. The record is from RNAcentral.
AGCGAACGCUGGCGGCAGGCUUAACACAUGCAAGUCGAGCGGGCACUCCGGUGUCAGCGGCAGACGGGUGAGUAACACGUGGGAACGUACCCUUUGGUUCGGAAUAACGCUGGGAAACUAGCGCUAAUACCGGUUACGCCCUUUUGGGGAAAGGCUUGCUGCCGGAGGAUCGGCCCGCGUCUGUUUAGCUGGUUGGGGGGGUAAUGGCCUACCAAGGCGACGAUCAGUAGCUGGUCUGAGAGGAUGAUCAGCCACGCUGGAACUGAGACACGGGCCAGACUCCUACGGGAGGCUGCAGUGGGGUGUACUGUAGGAUGAGGGCAAGCCUGGUCCAGCCAUGCCGCGUGAGAGGUGAAGGCCUUAGGAUUGUACAGCUCUUUUGUCCGAAACGAUAAUGACGGUACCGGAAGAAUAAGCCCCGGCUAACUUCGUG